Molecule: long non-coding RNA, 152 nt
Organism: Thalassophryne amazonica
Lineage: Eukaryota; Metazoa; Chordata; Actinopteri; Batrachoidiformes; Batrachoididae
Exons: 4
Source: RefSeq, a predicted model, not a curated record
GACCCUCCUCAUAAUCCACAAACACCCCGACCUUCUCAGGCUGAGACCUCACAGAGAGACGGACUGGAGGGACACAGCAAGCUUUGUACUCAUUUUCACUUCUCAACCAUAUGGUUCAGUAACCAUCCUGAGGACAUAGUGUGAAGUAUUUU